RNAcentral lists this ribosomal RNA (253 nucleotides) under uncultured bacterium. RNAcentral's name for it is "partial 16S ribosomal RNA". It matches the Rfam family "Bacterial small subunit ribosomal RNA", at positions 524 to 776 of the family's 1533-position model. The record is from RNAcentral.
UCCGGAGGGGGCUAUCGUUGUUCGGAAUUACUGGGCGUAAAGCGCACGUAGGCGGAUUGUUAAGUCGGGGGUGAAAUCCCGGGGCUCAACCCCGGAACUGCCUUCGAUACUGGCAAUCUAGAGUUCUGGAGAGGUGAGUGGAAUUCCGAGUGUAGAGGUGAAAUUCGUAGAUAUUCGGAGGAACACCAGUGGCGAAGGCGGCUCACUGGCCAGACACUGACGCUGAGGUGCGAAAGCGUGGGGAGAAAACAGG